AACGUACGCUGGCGGCACGCCUAACACAUGCAAGUCGAACGAAGUAGCAAUACUUAGUGGCAGACGGGUGAGUAACAUGUAGGUAUCUGCCCUUUGGCCUGGAAUAACACGAGGAAACUUGUGCUAAUACCGGAUAAGUCUUUACGGAGAAAGCUUUAUGCACCAUUGGAUGAGCCUGCACUUGAUUAGUUUGUUGGUGGGGUAAUGGCCUACCAAGACUGUGAUCAAUAGCUGAUUUGAGAGGAUGAUCAGCCACAUUGGGACUGAGACACGGCCCAAACUCCUACGGGAGGCAGCAGUGGGGAAUCUUGCACAAUGGAGGAAACUCUGAUGCAGCGAUGCCGCGUGAGUGAAGAAGGCCCUUGGGUUGUAAAGCUCUUUCGUCGGGGAAGAAAAUGACUGUACCCGAAUAAGAAGGUCCGGCUAACUUCGUGCCAGCAGCCGCGGUAAUACGAAGGGACCUAGCGUAGUUCGGAAUUACUGGGCUUAAAGAGUUCGUAGGUGGUUGAAAUAGUUGGUGGUGAAAUCCCAGAGCUUAACUCUGGAACUGCCAUCAAAACUUUUCAGCUAGAGUAUGAUAGAGGAAAGCAGAAUUUCUAGUGUAGAGGUGAAAUUCGUAGAUAUUAGAAAGAAUACCAAUUGCGAAGGCAGCUUUCUGGAUCAUUACUGACACUGAGGAACGAAAGCAUGGGUAGCGAAGAGGAUUAGAUACCCUCGUAGUCCAUGCCGUAAACGAUGUGUGUUAGACGUUGGAAAUUUAUUUUCAGUGUCGCAGGGAAACCGAUAAACACACCGCCUGGGGAGUACGACCGCAAGGUUAAAACUCAAAUGAAUUGACGGGGACCCGCACAAGUAGUGGAGCAUGUGGUUUAAUUCGAAGAUACGCGCAGAACCUUACCAACACUUGACAUGUUCGUCGCGACUCUAAGAGAUUAGAGUUUUCGGUUCGGCCGGACGAAACACAGGUGCUGCAUGGCUGUCGUCAGCUCGUGUCGUGAGAUGUUGGGUUAAGUCCCGCAGCGAGCGCAACCCUCGCUUUUAGUUGCCAUCAUUAAGUUGGGCACUCUGAAAGAACUGCCAGUGAUAAGCUGGAGGAAGGUGGGGAUGACGUCAAGUCCUCAUGGCCCUUACGUGUUGGGCUACACACGUGCUACAAUGGUAUCUACAACAGGAAGCAAGACUGCGAAGUUAAGCAAAUCCCUAAAAGAUACCUCAGUUCGGAUUGCACUCUGCAACUCGAGUGCAUGAAGCUGGAAUUACUAGUAAUCGUGGAUCAGCGUGCCACGGUGAAUGCGUUCCCGGGUCU
This 1306-nucleotide ribosomal RNA is filed under the name uncultured bacterium. RNAcentral describes it as "bacterial SSU rRNA". It matches the Rfam family "Bacterial small subunit ribosomal RNA", at positions 28 to 1381 of the family's 1533-position model. The record is from RNAcentral.